UACGUAGGGGCCUAGCGUUGUCCGGAUUUAUUGGGCGUAAAGGGUGCGUAGGCGGGUCUUUAAGUCAGGGGUGAAAUCCUGGAGCUCAACUCCAGAACUGCCUUUGAUACUGAAGAUCUUGAGUUCGGGAGAGGUGAGUGGAACUGCGAGUGUAGAGGUGAAAUUCGUAGAUAUUCGCAAGAACACCAGUGGCGAAGGCGGCUCACUGGCCCGAUACUGACGCUGAGGCACGAAAGCGUGGGGAGCAAACAGG
Molecule: ribosomal RNA, 253 nt
Filed under: uncultured bacterium
Lineage: Bacteria
Description: partial 16S ribosomal RNA
Rfam family: Bacterial small subunit ribosomal RNA
Source: RNAcentral